AAAAAACUAGAAAGUCUCAUUCCCUUGUAAUACCAUCAUAACAGAAGUCUUUCUUUUUUCACCCCCAUAUUCCCUUGCCGUAGCAGUCCACUCAUAUACACAUCAUUGCUGGUUCCUAGCCAUGUUACACACACUUGCACACAUACACUUCUGCAAAAAUCCAACAAACUACUUGGUUUCGCCUAUAAGCUUACCGGCGCGAUGAUGACUGGACUCGCUCGUCGAUGUCGGACUAGGGGUGCGGCUGGUUGUCUCGCUGCAAGGCUGGUGUUGAGGAAAACGUUGGCACUGACGCACGAGGGCAAGGAGAUCGCUGGACACCGGGCUAAACCCACCGACGCUAGUAUGCUUGAUGACGUGCCCAAGUUGAUGGAGGCAAGAGCUCACUCUUGAGGGUGUUGUUCUCUUUAUACUUGGACUCUUCUUUUUUUUUGUUAUUCUCAAAGUCAAAUUGUGUCUUAAAUUUGUUUUUUACCAAAAAAAAAAAAUUGUGUCUUAAAUUUGAGCUGAAACUCAUACGAUUUUGAGUUGUUCAAGUUUUGAUGUUUUUUU
This 552-nucleotide long non-coding RNA is filed under the name Eucalyptus grandis. RNAcentral's name for it is "long non-coding RNA (EGRA_LNC005062)". Lineage: Eukaryota; Viridiplantae; Streptophyta; Magnoliopsida; Myrtales; Myrtaceae. The record is from RNAcentral.